AUGAACGCUGGCGGCGUGGAUGAGUCAUGCAAGUCAAACGGUCCCGCGGAGCUCGCAAGAGCGGCGUGGGACAGUGGCAGACGAGUUAGUAACACGUAGGUACCUACCCCGAAGUCGGGAAUAAUUCGCCGAAAGGCGGACUAAUACCCGAUAGUCUCGUAAGAGUAAAGGAGCAAUUCACUUCGGGAAGGGCCUGCGGGCUAUCAGCUAGUUGGUAGGGUAACGGCCUACCAAGGCUCUGACGGCUAGGGGACCUGAGAGGGUGACCCCCAACGAUGGGACUGAGAAACGGCCCAUACACCUACGGGUGGCUGCAGACGAGAAUAUUCGACAAUGGGCGCAAGCCUGAUCGAGCGACGCCGCGUGAUGGAUGAAGACCCUCUGGGUCGUAAACAUCUUUUGUGAAGGAGAAAGUCCGCCAUUACGGUGGCGGAUUGAUAGUACUUCAAGAAUAAGGGGUUGCUAAACUCGU
This 472-nucleotide ribosomal RNA is filed under the name uncultured bacterium. RNAcentral's name for it is "bacterial SSU rRNA". It matches the Rfam family "Bacterial small subunit ribosomal RNA", at positions 29 to 506 of the family's 1533-position model. The record is from RNAcentral.